ACGCGCUGAUUCAGCACGCGCGCGCCGGGCGCCGCCGAGGACGCGGGAAGACCACGUGCCCCAACGCAGAGACCGGGCGAGUGUGGGAGACGGACUUUAGUCCCACAGCCCCAAAGCAACGUGCAAUUACACACGGACAGCGCGGCAGGUUGUCCUAAGCCCUGGAGCCACGGAGGUCAAGUCCAGUCCAGUGGUCACCGAGCAGCCCUUGGGCUGUGCGACUUAGGAGACUUUUCAAGUUCAGGACAUUCCUACGGGAUUAGGAGGCAGGGUAUGCUUCUCCUUCAGUCCCAAGACGCAUCUUCUCCUUGCCAGAUGGGACGGCCUUACAAGGAGCAGGCGAAGCCAGUCCCAGCCGUGAAACAUGACACCUGUGAAGCCAUGGACUGGAGGACUAUGGCGUUGACCCAGCCCUUUCAUAGGACCAAGUAGGAGAGCUCUUCAGUAGUGCUCUACUGCAGUGGCGUGGUGCCAUCCCUGAAGUCUGGGUGACUUUAAUAACC
This 503-nucleotide long non-coding RNA is filed under the name Catagonus wagneri (Chacoan peccary). Its description in RNAcentral is "lncRNA (ENSCWAG00000001460.1)". Lineage: Eukaryota; Metazoa; Chordata; Mammalia; Artiodactyla; Tayassuidae. The record is from RNAcentral.